UACGUAGGUGGCGAGCGUUGUCCGGAUUUACUGGGCGUAAAGGAUGCGUAGGCGGAUUAUUAAGUCAGAUGUGAAAUUCCCGAGCUUAACUUGGGAGCUGCAUUUGAAACUGGUAGUCUGGAGUGCAGGAGAGGUAAGUGGAAUUCCUAGUGUAGCGGUGAAAUGCGUAGAGAUUAGGAAGAACACCAGUGGCGAAGGCGACUUACUGGACUGUAACUGACGCUGAGGCAUGAAAGCGUGGGGAGCAAACAGG
RNAcentral lists this ribosomal RNA (253 nucleotides) under uncultured Clostridium sp. RNAcentral describes it as "partial 16S ribosomal RNA". It matches the Rfam family "Bacterial small subunit ribosomal RNA", at positions 524 to 776 of the family's 1533-position model. The record is from RNAcentral. Lineage: Bacteria; Bacillati; Bacillota; Clostridia; Eubacteriales; Clostridiaceae. RNAcentral also lists the same sequence under 1 other name.